GAUGAAGAACGCAGCGAAAUGCGAUAAGUAGUGUGAAUUGCAGAAUUCAGUGAAUCAUCGAAUCUUUGAACGCACAUUGCGCCCCUCGGUAUUCCGUGGGGCAUGCCUGUUCGAGCGUCAUUUAACCCCUCAAGCCUAGCUUGGUAUUGGGUGCUUGUCCCGCCUCUCGCGCGGCGACUCACCUCAAAGUCGUUGGCAGCCCGCAUCUCGCCGGCCGUGAGCGCAGCACAGACGCGCUCUUGGCAACGACGGAUCGGCUCUCCAAAAGCUUAUUUCAACCACUGACCUCGGAUCAGGUAGGGAUACCCGCUGAACUUAAGCAUAUCAAUAAGCGGAGGA
RNAcentral lists this unclassified non-coding RNA (339 nucleotides) under soil metagenome. RNAcentral describes it as "partial contains 5.8S ribosomal RNA, internal transcribed spacer 2, and large subunit ribosomal RNA". The stretch from base 1 to 120 matches the Rfam family "5.8S ribosomal RNA", at positions 35 to 154 of the family's 154-position model. The record is from RNAcentral.